Molecule: ribosomal RNA, 363 nt
Filed under: Columbicola elbeli
Lineage: Eukaryota; Metazoa; Arthropoda; Insecta; Psocodea; Philopteridae
Description: partial 12S ribosomal RNA
Source: RNAcentral
CCCUAUUAUUAGAAAUAAAAAUCUAUUAGGGAGUAAGGGUGAGUUUCCUGAAAACUGUCUAGAAUGGCGGUUCUUUUUAUUAUCAGAAAAAUGUGUUUUUAAAACGAAAGUGCACGACCAUCUUUCUUACUUUGGAUGUUCAUCCUGUACACCGCCGUCGGAAGGGUUAAUAGAAAGAAUUAGUCCUAAUUUUAUAAUUACAAAAAUAAGUCAGGUUAGGUGCAGACUAUGGGUAAGACAAAAUGCAUUUCACUAAAAUUACAAAAUCUGAGUUGAAAAACUUUUUUUUAGAUGAAUUUGAAAGUAAGUGAAGUUUAAUUAUAACUUCCUGAAGUAAUUCUAAAAGAAUGUACACAUCGCCCG